AUCAGCCUUUUGGGUGUGAUUUUGUGGAACGUGAGCGAGUUAAACGCCUUCGUGCCUGCAUAUUCGCGCACUUUGGGUGUACUUGCCCGUGUGGAUGGAUAACAUCCAUUUUGCUUAUAAAAAAAUGACUGGAGGAAUGUAGCUUCGAUCUCGUAUUGAAGUGUUAUAGCCUUCGGUAGAUGUGAUGAUCGAGAUUGAGGAUUGCAACGGAUACCCUUCGGGGCUACCUGUCUGGUCUCUGAUCGUUGCUCUGGUGCCGAAAGCUUGCUUACGGUUAUCAAAGUCGAUGGUCAAUAGGUUAGAACGGGUUAAAUUCGUUAAGGAUGUUGACGUAAUGGCUUU
RNAcentral lists this ribosomal RNA (342 nucleotides) under uncultured Glomeromycotina. Its description in RNAcentral is "eukaryotic LSU rRNA". Lineage: Eukaryota; Fungi; Glomeromycota. The record is from RNAcentral.